Molecule: ribosomal RNA, 328 nt
Filed under: uncultured eukaryote
Lineage: Eukaryota
Description: partial 18S ribosomal RNA
Rfam family: Eukaryotic small subunit ribosomal RNA
Source: RNAcentral
CCCUUAGAUGUCCUGGGCCGCACGCGCGUUACACUGAUGCAUUCAACGAGCUUAUAACCUUGGCCGAGAGGCCUGGGCAAUCUUGUUAACGUGAAUCGUGAUAGGGAUAGAUUAUUGAAAUUAUUAAUCUUGAACGAGGAAUUCCUAGUAAACGCAGAUCAUCAAUCUGCAUUGAUUACGUCCCUGCCCUUUGUACACACCGCCCGUCGCACCUACCGAUUGGAUGGUCCGGUGAAGCCUCGGGAUUGUGGUUCUUGCCGCUUUAUUGUGGCGUGACCGCGAGAACUUGUCUAAACCUUAUCAUCUAGAGGAAGGUGAAGUCGUAACA